GUACGGGUGGUUUUGGCUUCCACCCAUUUAGAGACAUAAUCAACUGCAAGUAAAAUGUAUAGGAAACCAAAAGAUGAGAGAAAAGUACUCAUAAAAUCUAUCCCCCAAACAUAAAAAAUUUCAACAAAUAACAUGGGGGCUUGAAGCAUUUGAUCCUUACGAAAAAUAUUUUUCACCCUUUGACACCUAUCACAGAAUUUGCAAAAUAAGUACGAAUCUUUAAAAAGGGUGGGCUAGUAAAAAUCACUCUCUAACACUUUGCGAGCUAUUCGCUUGAGUCCAAAAUGCCCUCCACAAGCAAACGAAUGACAGAAAUUUAAAAUAGAGUGAAAUUCACCUGUACUUACACACUUUCUUAGCACUUGAUCCGAACAUUGUCUCCAAAGGUAGGGGUCGUCCCAAAUGUAGUAUUUGGCAUCACUCUUCAAUUUAUCUCUCCUAACAUUUGGCCACCCUGCAGGCAAUUGAUUAGUCACUAAAAAAUUUACUAUAUCGGCGUACCAGGGUGUAGACGAAUCAACGGCAAGAAGUUGCUCCUCUGGGAAUGUCUCCCUCAAUGGUUGUUCUUCCUUAUGUGUCAGCAAACGGCUCAAAUGAUUGGCAACCAAAUUCUCUACCCCACUUUUAUCUUUUAUCUCCAAGUUGAACUCUUGCAGGAGUAGGAUCCAUCUGAUAAGUCUCGAUUUUGCAUCCUUCUUUGUCAUCAAAUAUCUCAAGACUGCAUGAUCAGAGAAAAUUGUUACUUUUGCACCUAACAAAUAAGGUCUAAAUUUUUCUAAUGCAAAAACCACAGUUAGUAAUUCUUUCUCUGUUGUAGAAUAGUUGAGUUGACCUCCAUUCAACGCAUUUGAUGCAUAAUAGACUGCAUGAGCCGCCCUGCCAAUUCUUUGCCCCAACACAGCUCCCACUGCGUAGUCACUCGCGUCACACAUAAUUUCAAAUGGGAGGCUCCAGUCUGGAGGUUGAAUGACGGGCGGUGAUGUUAACGACUCCUUCAAUUUGUCAAAUGCCAUCUUGCACUCCUCGGUGAAGUCAAAUGUUACAUCCUUCUACAACAGUUUGAACAGGGGCACUCUAAUUUUGGAGAAAUCUUUGAUGAAUCUCCUGUAGAACCCUGCAUGACCAAAAAAGGAGCGUACUUUUCGUACACUUACGGGGUAAGGUAAAGCAGAAAUAAUAUCGACUUUUGCUUCAUCUAUUUCUAUUCUCCUAGUCGACACUACAUGCCCUAAGACAAUACCAUACUCCACCAUAAAAUGAUAUUUUUUUCAAUUAAGUACCAAAUUUGUUUCUAUGCAUCUUUUUAAAAUCAAAUCUAAGUUAUCAAGGCAUUCAUCAAAACUAUCCCCAUACACACUAAAAUCAUCCAUAAAUACCUCAGUAAUCUUUUCUACAUACUCAUAAAAUAUACUUACCAUAUACCUCUGAAAAGUCGCCGGAGCAUUGCAAAGGUCGAAAGGCAUCCUCCGAUAGGCAAACGCGCCAAAUGGGCAGGUGAAUGUAGUUUUCUCCUGGUCCUUCGGUACUAUCGCGAUCUGGAAAUAAUCCGAAAAAUCAUCAAAAAACAGUAAUAGACACGACCAGCUAACAUUUCUAUCAUCUGAUCAAUAAAUGGGAGAGGAAAGUGGUCCUUCUUUGUCACAGCAUUCAGACUCCGGUAAUCAAUGCACUGACGCCAUCCUGUGGGUUUCCUCACUGGGACUAUCUCGCCCUCCUGGUUCUCUUUUACGGUUACUUCUGCCUUUUUCGGGACUAUUUGGACUGGGCUCACCUACGGACUGUCUGAGAUGGCGAAAAUGAUCCCCACUUCCAAGAGUUUAAAUAUUUCCUUCUUUAUCACUUCCAUCAUUAGUGGGUUCAAUCUCCGUUGCGCAUGUCUUACCUAUUUUCCAUCAUCUUCAAGCUGGAUCUGAUGCAUGCAUAAGGAGGGCUAACUCCCUUGAUAUCUGUUAUGUUCCACCCAAUCGCCUCCUUAUGAUUUCGAAGAAGACGAAUCAGGUUGUCUUCUUGUCUUGGUGACAGAUGUGCAGAUAUGAUGACCGGCAGUGUCUCUUUGUCCCCGAGAAAAGCAUACUUCAAAUGCUUUGGGAGAGGCUUGAGCUCCAAUUCAGGUGCGUGCACAAUAGAAUGCAACAAUUUCGCCAGAAUUUCUGGUACAAAAAGAGAAGUAAGCUCAUAUCUUGGAGAAAUUGGUGGAAGCGAAUGCAGUGCUUCAACUGCACGAUAUAACUCAUCACUUAAUCCUGCAUCAGGAGUUGCUCCCAACUCGAGAUACUUGGCUAAUGCCACUGCCAGUGCAUCGUCCCCAUCCAAUUCAAACGUUUUCUGCACAAGGGGCUCAAUAACACUUAAAACAAAAAUGGAGUUAGCCUCAUCCAGGUACUUCAUUGCAUCAAAAAUAUUAAAAUUUACAAUUUCUCCAUCAAACUCCAUUGAUAAGGUACCCUCAUUUACAUCUAUUUUCGUCCUAGUAGUGCUUAAAAUGGCCUACCUAACAAAAUAGGUGACAGAUGUAGUGCCCUUUCAUCCCCCAUGUCUAGGACAUAGAAAUCUGCAGGAAAAACUAACUCAUUGACCUGUACCAAAAUAUUUUCAACUAACCCUUCUGGAUAAGCAUUGGUACGGUCUGCAAGUUGGAUUAUAAUGCCUGUGCCUUUUAGUGGGCCAAGAUUAAGAGAAGCAUAAAUUGUUUUAGGCAUAACAUUAAUUGAUACCCUCAAAUCCAACAUCGUUUUCCUAAUUGGGGUACCUCCUAUCUUGCAGGGAAUGGUGAAUAUACCUAGGUCUCCACAUUUUGGUAGGAGUUUCCUUUGAAGCAUAGCUGAUACAUUUUCUCCCACCGCCACUCUUUCGUCACCCUUCAACUUCCUCUUGUGGGUGCACAAAUCCUUCAAAAACUUGGCAUACUUAGAUAUCUGCUUGAUUGCAUCCAGUAAGGGAAUGUUAAUCCCCAUUUUUUGGAACACAUCCAAAAGCUCUUUUUUCUUCUCUACUUUCUUUGUCUUCUCUAACCUGCAAGGAAAGGGGGGGUAAGUUAGAUUUAAUAGUGGGUGGAGAAGUGAAGGUUACCUUAUGAUCCUUGCGAAUACGUCAUUCCUCUUCAAUUUUCUUUUCUAUCUCCUUCUCACUUUUGCUUUUUGAAUUUUCCACUUUAGCCCCUUCCAGUUCCUUGCCACUCCUUCAGUGUCAUGACACUUACAUUUUUGGGAUUUAUCUCGGGUUGAGAUGGUAAUUUUUCAUGGACGUGGGACUGCAGGCGAUUGAUGGCAGUUCCCAAUUGGCUUAUUCGAGUAUCCAUAUCUUUCAUGUCUGCUCUGGUGUCCUGCUGGAACUGAGUGGUACUCAUGGUUAAGGCUCUAGUUUCUUGCUGGAGUUGGGCCAUAUUCGUGGUCAAUGACCUGGUCUCCUGCUGGAGCUGAGUAGUAGUCAUGGCCAGACUCUUGACAAUAUCCUCCAGAGAGCUACCUGAAUUGGCGGACGAAGGUUGAGGCUUUUGCUGCCAUGGUUGCUGAAACCCUGGUGGACGAUUUGAAAGUGAAUUUGGUUGCCUGUUCCCAUAACUAAGGUUGGGUGGUCCCUCCAACUCGGAUUGUAUGUAUUGGAGUACGAGUUAUACUGCCUGCGUGGCGCGAGCACGCUUCCUACCAUGUUUACCUGUUUCGCCCCGUUCUCUUGUAAAAAGGGGCACGUGUCCGUGCAGUGGUCCAUACUAGUGCAGAUUUCACACACCUUCACUCGUGGUGUGUUCCCCAUGGCUAAUUGCCUAACAGCGGACGUCAACUCUGACAAUUGUUGCUGAAUGGAUGACGUCUCUAUCUCAUUGACCCUACGAGUGGGGUUAAUCUCACGGUAGUCAAACUACUGAGAGUUCUCUGCCAUGACUUCAAUAAGCUCCCACGCCUCCUUCGAUGCCUUGUUCGUCAAGGUUCCUUCACUCGCAGCAUCAAUGAUACUCCUGUCAGUUGACUGGAGCCCUUCAUAGAAGUACUGGAUCAAUAGUUGCUCACUAAUUUGAUGUUGCAGACAUCUAGUGCAUAACUUGUUAAACCUUUCCCAAUAGUCGUAUAAGGACUCCCCGGAGUACUGCUUGAAGCUGCAUAUUUCCUUUCUCAAACUCGCAACCCGGGAUACGGGGAAGAAUUUUUCUAGAAAUUUCUUUUUCAAUUGUGCCCACGUGGUGAUACUACCAGCAGGGAGAUGGUAUAGCCAAUCCUUCGCUGCAUCCUUGAGAGAAAAGGGGAAAGUUCUAAGUCUUAUUUGCUCCUCAGUGACCCCAAGAGGUUUCAUAUUAGAGCAAACUAUCUCGAACUCCUUGACAUGUUUGUGGGGUUUUUCACCAGAAAGACCAUGGAACGAAUGUAGGAGGUGAAUCAACCCCGACUUCAGCUCGAAAGCGGUAUUCUCAGCCAAAGUGGGGAAUGUGAUGCACAAGGGCUGGUGAGUCAACUCCGGGGCAGCCAACUUCCUUAGUGAUUGGGUGUUGGCCAUGCUAAAUUCGUCUUCUGCUGGCUCGUUUGCAGUAGAUAAGUGCCCUUCUUUUCGUCUCUUGAUCUCUUGCCUUCGCCCACGCGCUGCCUUCUUAACCUCAGGAUCGUAUACCAAUUCACCUGUGCGAGAAGAAUGGGGCAUAAACUAGCAAAAAUAUCAAGAAGAAAAAGAAAAAAAACUGAACUCAAAAAGAAAUAAAUAUUUCAAAUGACAGUCCCCGACAACGGCGCCAAAAAUUGACAGGUGCCGAACCUGUGCAAUAAUAAUAAAUAAAAUCUAAGUACCACCUAAAGCAGUCAAUAAUCAAUUCUAGUACUGAAGCAGGGACUCUAGGUGUGCAAUGGGUUACUUGAUUCACCCUGUUCCUGAAGAGUUUGCUUAAUCCAAUAUACAUGAAUUAAUUAUUUAACUGAACUCACAAACAAAUAGACAGUGGUAAGCAUGGUCGUCUCCUCAGGGACUGGAGAAAAAUUUAUUUCUUACCAAGUCAAGAUUAAUGGGAGGUUUUGAGAUUAAAUGCUAAUUAAACAAAUUAAAUGCAGAAAAUAAUUAAAUAAAAGAAAUAAUUAAGAGAAACUCUAGCCAAGGGUAUACUUCAGAAAUGGUUCGUACACUGAUCAUCGAUUCACAGAUAAUUCCAACAUUUAGUAAUAGAUUAGUUAUAGUUGUCAUGCACGCGAUAAACAACCAACCCUUCCUUAAUUUCUCGAUAGCCAAGGUACGACCGUUAGCUAUUUUUUUAACUCAUAAACAACCCUAGAUACGACCGUAGAAUUAAAUUUUUAGAUUGCAUUAAUAAUUAGAAAGGUCCAAUCCUAACCAACAAACACGCUACGAGAGUUCGUUUAAGUUAGAUCAUAUGCUCCCCUGACAUAAAUCUGAUUACGCCAGUUGCUACUAAGAUAGAGAUAACGAACAAUUACGGAUUCAAUUACCCCUAUUUAGCAAAAAUAGCCUAUAUGGAUAAUUAAUUAUUGCGCACUAAUCAAUCAUACACAAGUUCAUAGCAAUUAAAAGUAAGGAACAUAUAAAUAUCAAUAAAUGAAGAAAAUAAUUAAAAGCAGCUUAUAUCUCACAGUAGUUGUUGAACCAAUUCGUCAAUUGCCCCCUUGAUUAGAAUUAGGGAUUUAGUUCCCCAUAAUUAAUGUACAGGCCAUGCGGACAAGGUUGGAAGAAGCCAUCGAUUCCUUAAUCAAAGCGAACGAAAGAAAUUGCCCCUCGUUAAUUCCGGUCAACCGAAGAAAGAAAGGGGACAAUCGAUUAUGGUGGUUUUCAAUUGUUCUCCUAAGCUAACCGUAUAGAGAGUGCACACUUUCAAUUUUCUUCAGUCAAGGCCAGGGUGAAAAGCAAUGUCAAAAGUCCACAGUUGCAGCUCCUCUUAGCUUUCUUUCUUUCCUCACAAGACAUACGAGAGAUUGGGUUUCAAUCAAUUGAUUUCUCCAAAUCAAUUCACACAAGAUAGAAAAGCCAGAAUACAAAGUCAACAAUUGCGGCCUUCUUGUCUCUUUUUUUCCCCGUUACAAAGCCACGGCCAGCCCCCUUUUUUUAAGAACAAAGGGAACGAAAAAGGAAGAAAACCUAAACCAGACAAGAGGUAAAAAAAUUGUUUUCAGCCAGCCCGCUCUCUGGAGUCUAAUACCUUCCCCUAUCCGACCUUCCAGGAGGGGCUUUUUUUUUUCUCCUCUCGAGAAGUGGUCUUUUACAAAAUUAAAACGAGACUCUCUAAAAUAAAAUAAAAUAAAGUCUAUUACAAUCAAAUUUUCUCAGCUUCUCAAGGGGGCCCCACGUGCGACAAAUCUUCGAAAUUUUGACUUUAAGUACUUUUUAGCAUCAAUUCCUGUAAUUAGUAUCAAAACAAAAUAUCAGUAGAAUCCACCCAAUUAAUGAAAAUAUUUAGUCAGAUAAACAUGCAUUAAUGCCCAAAAUACCCCGCUAAAACGCACCCUAUCAUUAUUGCGGGAAAACUCAGCGUCAACGUUGGUGGACCGACAAGAAACAAUGGGCACACUCGAUGUCAAUUUCGGUGAUUUUUUUUUUGGUUUUAUUGGAAAAAUAAACGUUUAUGUGGUUUUAGCUCAAGUUAUCACUAUGGCUCACGACAUCCCCGAUCAGUUACUGAACAUCUAUAUAUUGUACAUUGUUCAUUGUAAAAUAUGUAAUCGAAAAUAAUUGCCUUGUUUGGCAGACAAGUUUUUCUGCUACAAGUUUUUUAAAAACUUUAAUUAUAGUAACUUCAAAAAAAUUUUCAAAAUUUUUAAAUUAUACACUUCAAAAUAUUCAAAAAAAAACACACUUCCAAAAUUUUUUAAAAAACUUUUACAGUAAAUUAUAGUAAAGUUUUAGACAAACACCUAAAAAACUUAUUUGCCAAACAGGGUCUAAGAGUGGUGCAAAUUAGGAAGGAUUUCCGCAACGAAUGUUGUCUGUAUUCGUUAACAUACCGAUAUUUCACUCAAUCUAUCAUAUAUAUAUAUACACACACCAAUAAUAAUUAUUUUUUCUUACAUUUAUAAAUUUUUUAAAAUUAAUCUCCUUAUAUAUAUUAAUUAAUUUUAUAUUUUUAAAAUUUUAACACUUGAAAUAUAUUUUAAUGCAUGCCCACAAGACACUCGCUAAACAAAUCGAAUUAGAAAAUCACGGCCAAGUGAGUCAGGCAGGCAAAUGAUCUCAUUCGUCUAAGUGUGUUGCUAUUUGAUCACAUAUAGGUCCCAUUUGGCAAGUGAGUUUUUUGGAUGUUUAUCUAAAAUUGUAUUGUAAUUUACUGUAGAAGUUGUAGAAAAAAUUUUUGAAGUGUAUAAACAUAUGGAUAUUUCGAAGUAUAUGGUUUAAAAAAUUUGAGAAGUUUUUUAAAAUUAUUAUAGUUAAAAUUAUUUAAAAACUUGUAGCAGAUAAACUUGAUAAAAAACUUGCUUAAUAUCUUCAUAUAACUGUGAUUUUAGUGCAUAAUCUACGAAAAUUUUCCUUUCCUAUUCUAUCUUUUGUCCCUGCUGACCUCGGGUCCUGACUGCCAUUGUUCAACCUUCACUUUAUUCAAUUAGUACCCUCAAAAUUAACUUCCAAGUUCCAGCAGGUGGAAAAAUUUCUAAGAUGGAAUUUAGGUCCCCCACAUUCAAAGGUUUAUUACUACUACACACCCAUAAAUGUCAUGCAAUAAUUUCACUCUGCUUCUAUAGGCCCACCAAGUUCAUUGAAUUAUUGUACUACUACCCAGCCAGGAAAGUCAUGAUCAAUUUCACUCUAGUUUCUCCUCUAAGUAGUCCCAUCUCCCUUGCUAAAAAUCUUGCACUUGCAAAAUAACUGGCCAAACAGUCCAAUGCAAACUACAUCUGAUUAAUUGUAACUCUCUAACUCAAGCAGUAUGAACUAAUCAACUCUGUACUAAUAUGAAUGGAGAAACUUUUUCUUGUUGCGGUCAAUUUUAAACAGCAUAUAUAACUUUGCAAUUAAGGCUAAAGAUUAGACUGAAAAAAGAAAUAGUGGGCAUACUCAGUGUCUUGUCCAUUAAAUUUUUUUUGGUAAAAUAAAUAUUUAAAUGGUUUUAACGCUAAUAACCACCACAAGUCAAGACACGUCCCAAAAUCAUACAUUUAGGGAUGGCAAUGGGACAGGUUUGAGGUGGAGGAAUCCUCACUCAUCCCCCAUCCCGACUAACCUCGUUACCCUCGCAGGUGCACCUGUCCUGCCCCAAUGCCAUUUUUAGUUUUUAUUUAGUCUUAUUUUUUCUCUUUAUAUAUAUAUAUAUAUAUAUAUAUAAUGCUAGUAAUAAUUUUAUUGAUCAUUCUUUUUAAUUUUUAGCAAAAAAUCCAGCAAUCGCCGUGAAAAGUAUGGAUGUCAGGUUCUUUAAAGAAGCAUCGAUGUCCAUGAUGUUGAAUUAGUGCUUAUUGAGUUAGUUGUUGAAAAGGAACACAGCGAAAUGACUCAUUCUCUGAAAGCUUUCAAUGGUUGAAUGUUAUCCAUCAACUUCUGUUUCAGAACUCAGAACAAUGUGAUUCAAAUUAGAUUAGGCAAGCAUUUGAGGAUGAAAUCCAUAAGUUUGUUAGAGUUUUAGUUAACUGCAUUUAAUUUGAUCCGAGAAAAGGUCAUCCAUGCUAAAAAGUGUACAAAAUGUUGAGCUAAAGAUGUGUCUUCGCAAAUGAUUCAGGACUGGUGGGAAUUUGAAUAUGGCUUUCCCAGCAUGGAUGAUUUUUCCUUUUGUUGAUCUUCAGAACAGUGUUUCCAUAUCCACUUAUUGGGAUACUUAUAACGUUUAGAUAUAAGAAUACCAUUUAUAAUACUGAUAACGAGACAUAAUGGAAGCCCAAUACUCCCCACGAACUACGGGCGCAUGCACGAAUUGAUCUUUUAACUUGUCUGCAUAAUAACUAGUGAACGUAGAUGGGUUAAGUGCGCACAAUUCCGUUAUGUUUUGCAGGUAGUGGCAUUUGAACACAGAAAAUCAACAUAUUUUAGGGUUUGUUUGCUUGGAUGUAAAAUCUUUUCAUGGGAAAAAUAUUUCAUUGAAAAUCAUUUUCGGUUGAACAUUUUUUUUUUUUAUAAUUAUUUUCAGAUCUUUGAUUCCCUUCCUGAAAAUUUUGGCUUCAUAUAUUACGCACUUUUCUCUUCAACUUGUACCGAUCUUCCACUCUAUUUUACCACUGCUUCCCACGUACCCAACUCCCAUUACACAACUAGUAUUUUGACCAGUGCUAAGCACGAAUUUAUAUUUAAUACAAUAAUAAUACUAAUAAUAAUAAAUAAAUUAUUUUUUAUUAAUUACACGAAAAAAAAGUUAAGAAAUCAAAAGAGUGCUACUUUUGUAUCUAAUUUUUAUUGUAUUUAUGUACCUUGUCUAAAACUUUAAAGUAUAUUAAAAAAUAUGAACAAAGAUCACAAAAAUACCUAAAGAAAUACUAAAAGUGCAUCAAACACAACAUUAUUAACCCCCCCCCCCCUCCAUGUGUCUUCCUCUUUGUGCCACUUUCUCUUAACAUUCCACUACUCUUCAUUACCCUCUUUCUUACCUUCUUAAUUCAAACUUCCCACAUUCCUCCAACUUUUUUCCCUCCCACAAACUCUACCUUCCCUUCACCCUACUCUGCUUUUUUCAAAUUGUGCAAUCUCUUACUAAUUUCGUAAUCUAUUUCCUGCCAUCCUAUUGUUCUUUCCACCCAUUUAUAGUUAUAAAUAGUGACCAAUUUUGCAACUUGUUCUUGAACAAAUGAGUUUGGGUAUGCCAUCUACUUAGGUUCAAAUGGAUAACCUAAUGACACCCAUUAAUUAGUGACUAUUAAAUGGAAGGAAUGGCAUCACUUAUUUAGAGCUAAUUAAAUUAGAUGUAGAUUCAAAUUCAAUCGUUAGUAAGUAAAUUUAAAUCACUACCAAUUCAAUAAUUAUACUCUACUUUUUGCAAAGGCAUAUUUAAUGUUCUUUUCCUAUUCUUUAAUUUUCAUUAUUUUAAUUUUUGUUAAAUUUCAUCCUACUUCCUCUCCCUUCCAUCAAAGUUUUAAUGAACUCCUUGAGUGUUAAUUGAUUUUAACAUUCACACCUAAAUUAUUUUUAGAUUCUUAUAGAGUGAUAAAAUUUGAAACUCCUUAUGAUCACCACUAUUGAUUCUUCCAUGUAAUUUGAGAAUUUUGGCAAAGUAAAAAAUGAAAAAGUUCCUGAGCCAUAUUUGAGAAAUUUCAACUUACUAGGUUAAUAAGUGUAAAUGCUGCUCUUACGAGGGAAUCAAGAAUGAUUGAACAAAAACAUUUCAACUUAAGUGUGUUUCGAUAGCUAUUAUUUGGCUUCAAAUUAUUUGUUUGCAUCACAAACAUAAUUUUCAAAAUACCUUUUUAUCUUUCCAAUCAAUUUUUUAUCUCGCAUACAUUACAUCACAAAAAGUGCUAUAGUAAUUAUUCCAAAUAAUAUUUCAAAUAAUCCCCUAUCCAAUAAGAAAAAAAUCAUAUAUUCAAUAAUUUUCAGCGCGAUCAUAUGGUUGUAACUACAAAUAACCUACCAUGAAAAUACCUAUUUUUAGCUUCAUUUCAUCAUGUGAAUUUCUCGUGAUUUCAUUUUAGCAUCCUUAUUUUUUAAUUAAAACAAUCUUGUGAAAAAGCUUCCUGUAUAAGCAAAAACAAAAGAAGAAUACACAAUGGCAAAUUUUAGUUCAUAGUUAGCUUCCAUGUUCGUGAAAAAUUUUCUAGGAUGGAUUCUAAAUUGUGUCCCCCAUGUUCAAAGUUUAUUACUACACAACCAAAAAAGUCAUGCAGUUAUUUCACUCUACUUUCUUAUGCCAUUGCUUGGAAAAAUGUAAUCUAUAGGUCCACCACAUUCAAUAAUUGUACUACUACACUGCUAGGAAACUCACAAGCAAUUUCGCAAGUCUACUUUCUUAUCAAUAGCAGUACCACUACUUUGUCUUCGUUAAUAGACCAUCUCCAUUGCCAAAAAACCUUGCAUACACAAAUGUUCAAUUUCAAACUCUCCAUAAAACAAAUAAAAAAGAAAAAAGUCAUUUACUUUUGGGAAUGGAAAAAAAUUAAAAAUGUUCCUGCAUCAUAUUCGAGAAAUUUCUACCGAUAAAUAGGUGUAAAUGCGGCUCUUAGAGGGAAUCAUAGAAUGAUUGAACAAAAACACAAUGGAAGUUAUUUCACUCCCAAAUAAGGUAUUUCACAUCUUCAACAAUUUUCAAUGGGAUCAUAUGGUUGUAACUACAAAUAGCCUACUAUAAAAAUGAUAUUGAAGAUGGCAUUCAAAAACUUUGACCCCGAUUGUGAUAUUUCGCAGAAAAAUUUUUAUGUUUUUCACGAACACAUUUUUCAAUUAUUUUUUUACCUCGCAUACGUCAAACUGUUACAAUAUACUUUUUUUUUUUUUUUGCAGAAACUCUUAAAAUAGCAAUCCAAACGGGCUAGAUUUUACUACUUGUGCUGACUCAUCUUGACAAUUAUUGGGUCAUAAACAAUUGUAAUCUAGUGCCAAAAUUUCAAUCUUCUCAACCAUUUCAAGAUAGCAAGAAAAUGCCCCGAAUUCUAUAUAUAUUACUUGUAUGAUUUUUGAGUAUGGGUUAAUUUAACAUGUCCUGGAAGUUAUUUUAACAUCUCCAUCUUUAACUUCAUUUCAUCUUGCGGGUUUCUCAUAAUUUUAUUUUAGUGUCUUUAUAUUCAACUUAAAAUAAUCUUGUGAAAAAAAGCUACAGUACAAGCAAAAACAAAAGAAGCAUGGUAAUUAUCAAACCUUCUCUUUUUCAAUUGGUACAUAUAAAGUUAACUUGCAAGUUCCAACCGGUAAGAUGAAAUCUAAUUUAGGUCCCCCAUAUUCAGAAGUUAGGUCAUGCAAUAAUUUGAGCCUGCCUCUAUAGGUCCAGCACGUUGAGUAAUUGUUCUACUAUCCAACCAGGAAAGUCACGGCCAAUUUCACCCCACUUUCUUAUCAAUUACGGUACUGCUCCUACUUUCUCCUCUAUAUGAUACUCCAUCUUCCUAGCUAAAAGCCUUGCACAUACUGCAUUGUUUUAAUUUUGAUUCAAAUUAUCAUCUUCCUCGCCCGUGUUCUCUUUUUCACCAAACUUGGAUUUGACAGGGUAGGUUCACGAUAAACAGGCACUUUUCCCAUAUUCAUCAGAUCAGCUAUUGCCAGAGAUUUUAUUUUCUCUCAAGUAAGUGCUGAGAUUUGUUCACUUUUCUUGAAGUUCAAGGCUUUUUUUUUUUUUUUUUUUUUUAUAAACAUAGCCUCACCAUAUAAGGGAAUAUCUGCAGAUUCAACGGAUCAACCGUUGCCGGAGUGUUCAUUCUCUCCAAAGUGAGUGCUGAAUUUUUUUUUCUUUUUUUUUCAUACACAUUUUUUGGUUGAAAUAUAAAUGGCUUCCAUGUGUUUAUGACAUUCAUUCUACUAGCAUACUUUCAUAUGUUGGCGACUAGCUUCCAAGGCUAGAAUUUUUGCUUCCUGCUAUUCUUGAAACUAACAAGAAGGGUAAAACACUCAAAAUUGUACAGUGCAAAUGUGCAAUAUGCAUCCCAUGUUCAAAACUCUCUAUUACUAGACAACCCUGAAAGGUCAUGCAGUUAUUUUUUCAUUCUACUUUAUUAUGCCAUUGCUUGGAAAAAUUCUAAUCUAUAGGUCCACCACAUUCAAUAAUUGUACUGCUACAAGGCUAGGAAACUCAUGACCAAUUUAACAGAUCUACUUUCUUUUCAACAACAAUACUACUCCUUUCUCCUCAAUAAUAGAUCGUCUCCAUUGCCAAAAAGCCUUGCAUAUACGAACAGUUUCUACAUUUUUUCUUAAACUUUACUUUUGAGUAAUUAAGUAGCCUCACGAUAUACUAGCAAUUUUCCCAAACUCAACAGAUCAGCUACUCCCAGUGGUUUCUUUCUUUCUUUUAUUUUACUCUCAAGUAAGUGCUUAAUUUUUUUUUCCCUCAAACUUAAAGGAAUUUUUAUUUUUCUAUUUUUUUUUUUUGACGUAGCCUCGCCAGUAUAAACGGAAUUUCUGCAAAUCCAACAGAUCAGCUUUUGCCAGAGUGUUCAUUCUCUCCAAAGUAAGUGCUGAAUUUCUUUUCUUUUUAUUAUUAUUAUUAUUAUACACAUUUUUGGUUGAAAUAUAUAUAUCUGGCUUCCAUGUGUUUUUGACAUUUAUUCUUCUGCUACUAUGUACUUUUAUACGUUGCCGAGUAGCUUCCAGGGCUGGGAAUUAGCUUCCUGUUAUUCUUGGUAGUAUAUCAUACUAGUUUGGAUGCACGUGCUUUGCGCAUAACCCGCGUUGUGUGGUAAUUUUCUUAUAUUGCGUGGUUUUUUUUAUUAUUUUUUUAAUGCUAAGCAAAUUUUAGAAUGAAAGCUUUUCCUUUUUUCUCCGUUAUGGGCAUAUAGAUGAAUAAUCUAUCUUUUGGAAGGGAAUGAUUGGAGUAGGAAAUUCUAGGUUGACAUGCUUUCUAAUAAUAUUCAUGGAUAAGUUUUUAUGCAUAACAUUGUUAAACUUGCAUUUUUUUACAUGAAUUUUCUACUGUAGUUUUUAAAGAGUAAUUUGUGUAUGUAAGACAUUUUGUGUCAUUCUCAUACCUUAUCUUAGUGACGGCGCUUUUUGUCUUUCGAGAGUUUUCUUUCUGCAAUUAAUCAUGAAAAUUUGAUAGAGUCAUAAUUCAUGACAUUUUCUUAGAUCAGAAACUUGAAAUGAGAAACCAAAAAAGAAAAAUUAACAGUCCUUGAAAAGAAAAUGAGAAGUGAAAUAGGGACACUAACUAUCCUAAAGUUUAGGAUAAUGAUACAAUGAUAAUGUUAGAAUACUUCAGCUAUACUAUCUUUUUCGUAUCGAUUGACCCACUAAACUUUUAAAGCUAAUUAAUUGAACCAUUCCGUGUAGUUAGUGGUUAAAAAAAAUGAAACUUUCAGAAUUAGUGGGGAACUUUUGUCACUUUGUUAAUGAAAAAUAGUAUGGCGGAUUAAAUGGGAGUUUAGUAAAAUUAAGUGAAUCUUGAUACAAUUUGUUGGAAAACUUUUUGGAAACUAAAGAAGAAUGGAAAAAAAGGAAUGUCUUAGAAAAUGUUUAACACAACUAAUUCUCACAUUUUCAAAUCUUUUGAGCUAGUAUUAGAAAUACUUUAGUUAGGUGACCAUAAGAUCUGACAUUCGACUAUCAAAUUCUUAAUUUUUUUCUUUCCCAUUGUAAGGCUGAAGUCUCCCAUUCAAAGGGAAAAAAACAGUACUCGUAACUUUUAAGCUUUCUUUAGUUGACAUGAUGUAUCGUUAUAAAAUAGUAACCCAAAAUUUCAGUAGCUAAAAAUAGCCAUGCAAUCACACACACAAGGCAUGUAAAAAAUCUUCAGUUCUUCGUUUAUUUAUUUACUUUUGCAAGAUGGCGCAGUAGCUAUUCCUUCAUGCGGUUGAAGUGCCUACAAUCAAUUGGAAGUUGCUGAAAAGUGAUAAAAUCUUCCUAAUAUAAUUUCCAUGAUUUUGCAUUUUAGCUUCAGUCGUAGACUAGGCAUCUUCUUUCAAAAUCAAGUCAUCGUUUGGCUUUUUCUUUUUAAGAUUCCAUCUUUUGCUUUGGUUUGCUCUCUCUUUUUUAAAGAUUAUGACCCCAAAGAGGAACGGGUCAUCAAAAAGGAACCAAAGUGAAGUAGGACCUUGCUAGGAAGUCAUGGUUUUGCUCUGUUGAUAAAAAAUUUGCUAUUUUAUAAAAGGAUCAUAAUUGUAUAAUUACCCUUGUAAAUUUGAAAAUCAAAGACACAAUAAUGUAAAGUCAAAUUUUUACUAUCUCCCUUCUCUGCACGCUUUUCAACCACAAACUAUUAGGACCAGGAUUCAUAAUGUUUCUGUCUUACCUUGAAACAUUCAAAAUUUUAAAAAUCUGCAUGAACAUCUAUCACAACUAAAAGAGGAUGGUACUGGUUAGUCAAAAAAGUAAAAAUCAAAUCGCAAGUAACUUAUCAGUUAUGACUAUACCUGGCAAUUGGGCGGGUUGGACGGAUUUUGGACGAGUUGAUAUUGGGUUUUUACUUAAAUGGAUUAUACCCAACCCGCCCAACUUUAAAUCGGGUUAGUUUUGGGUUGGGUCAUAUUGGGUCAUCUCAAACCCAAGACCCAAAUAUGACCCAAUAUAUUAAUUAAUAGAUUUUGAUACAUAAAUUCUCUCAAAUAUAUUUUUGCAUACAAAAAUUUUUUUUCACACACUAAAACAAUUUUGGUCCAAGUUGAAUAUAGCAUGAAAAAAUGUUAUACCAAUAUUAAACAAGAUCCAAUCAUGCCUUAAUUAAAUUGAAACUUGAUAAGAGAGAUACAAUUCUCAACCAAUUAGUUCAAAUAUCACUAUCCAAUUCAUUUGAGAUUUGUGAAUUGUGACUUUUGGGUUCCUUUUAUUCAUUAUUAAAUAACCUCACUUUGCACUUUUUACACAAUUAUUGUGGUUGAAUAUCAAUCUUGUCUUGUGAUAAACCUUCAUGUCAAGGGCCAAAAAAGGGGAAAAAAAAGACGAAGAAGAAAGAAAAUUGGACCCAUGAAUGAUCUAAUUGACAAAUUUUAAUUAAUAAUUGAGCAACUUAUGAAAGCAAUUAAAAAUUUGCUUGCAUAUUUUGCUAGAUUUUUUAGGAACUAGUAAAUGCUUAAAAACACGAGUUGCUAAUAGAAUCUCUCCGUCCAAAAGAUAACAAUGGAAAAAAAUAUGUAUAUGUACAUUAACAUGCAGUUGAACAGUAAUCUUCACAAUCCUAAAACCAAUUAGUAAAGGAACAAGAUGUGUAUGGACUUGCAAGUUUGCUAUCUUAAAGGGAAAAAAAAAAAAAAAAAAAAACAGCAAGCGCGAUGCAGUUGACAAGAAUGUGCCAAAAUGCUUAAAGUUAAGAAAACGGUGGUGGAUUGAAAAUUCCCGACGAGAGGCCUCCAUUGUUUUUUUAAGUUGGGUAAUGGGUACCCAACUUAAUUACCCAAACCGCCCAAAAUACAUGUGAGUUUUUAUUAUCCAACCUAAAAUUAACCCAACAUCCAAUUUACCCAACCCAGCCUCUUAAAUUAGUGGGUGGAUUGGGUGGAUUGUUGGAUUUUGGGUAUAAUUGCCACCUCUAGUUAUGACAUCCAAUUCUUUAGUUGGCCUGAUUUGAAAUUGUAAAUCAUCGUGGCACAUUAACAAAAAAUUACACAAAUUACAGUAGUUAAAACACACACACAAAAAGGCAUAUACUACACUUUUUCGUCCAUCAUUUAUUUACUUUUGCAAGAGGGUGCAAAAGUAAAUCAUACGAAAGGUCCUGAAGGGUGAAGACCCCACGGACAGCAAAGUCUUUCUAAUAGCUUCCACGAAUUUGCAUUUUAGCUUCAUUUGCAGACAGGGCACCUUCGUCUUUCAAAAUCAAGUCGUUGUCUGGCUUCUUCUUUUUAAUUUCCAUCAUUUUGCUUUAGGGUGUUCUUUCUUUCUUGACAAUUAAUACUUCAUUUCCCUACAGUUUCUUUCUUCUGAGGAACCACUAUCGUGGAUCAUAGGUGAAAGAAGCAACACAAUAUCACUAUAAGUAAAAGAGUACAAGAGAGAGAGAGCACAAAACCCUACAAAAUAAUUCCAAGGUCCAAAUGUAUCUAAAACUAAAAACACUUGAGAUCUUUUUUUUUUUUUUUUUUUUUUGGAAGCAUAACACUCGAGAUUUUAAAGAAGCACACAAAUGUCUUAUAAAAUCAAAAUUCCUAAAGUUUAGGAUAAUGUUAGAAUACUUCAGAAUUUUGCUAUACCCUCUUUUUCGUAUGGAUUGACCCACUAAAAUUUUAAAGCUAUUUAAUUGAACCAUUCCGUCUAGUUAGUGGUUAAAAAGCUGGGAACUUAUAAAACACAGCAGCAGAUUGCAAUUAGUGGGGAACUUUUGUAGCUUCGUUAAUGAAAAAUAGUAUGGCAGACUAAAUAGGACUUUAGGAAAAUUAAGUGAAUUUGAUGCUAUUUGUUGGCAAACUUCUUGGAAACCGAAGAAGAAUGGAAAAGAGAAAUAUCUUAAAAAAAGUUAAACACAACUAAUGCUCACAUUCUUAAAUUUUUUGGGGUAGUAUUAAAAAUACUUUAGUAGGUGACCAUGAGAUUUUUCCUACUAACUUUAAUCACAUGCCAAAUAAAAUGUUGCUUUUUAAAGAACAUACCAUUGCAGGUGAAAAGUACUGCCACAAACUCGAUUUGUCAAGUGACAAGAUCAUUACUUCAGAAAAGGGUAUGCUGAUUUUUGCCUCUAUCUUCCGCACUUUUCAGAAAGAAAAAAAAAAGGAGCAUAAUCAUUUAUAUGAGUUAAUAGUGACAGAAAAAAAAAAGAGUAUGUCCCUUUAAAGGAUAAACCAAAAAAAGGGUAUAAUCACUUAUUUGUGCUUUAUGAUUAUCCUAUUUGAACUACUCCUCUAUUUUCUUUUUCUUUUUUUACACUUUUCCUAUUUUUUCUUUUGACAAUGCCGUUCUUGAUAAUCCCUAAAAUACUAUCCUCUUCCAGUUUGUCUUAUUUUUCUCACAGUAUUUUUUUCUAGUUUCUGGUUGCUUUUAAGACAUAAAGAUAUAUGGAUUAGAAUUUUAUUAAUGUCCUUGAAAUCACAAAUGCACUCAAAAAUUUGUGGAACUUAUCAUCUUAUAAAUAUUGGUAAGACUAAAAACUGCUUAGACUCUAUACACUAAACAAAAAUUUAGUAUUUUUCUUUAUUUGAGCUAUUUAAUUAUUCUCAUUUUUAUAACAACUCCUGUACUCUAGAUUCUAAAAGAAACAAAAUUUUUCCAAUCUCUGUGAAUUCGAUCCUACUAACCACUAUAUAUAAAAUCUGUAUUUUUAUUAGAAUAAAUUUUUAUUAUUACAUAGGCCCGACACUUGUCAACUAUCCCCUUCCAGUUUGUCUUAUUUUUCUCACAGUAUUUUUUUCUAGUUUCUGGUUGCUUUUAAGACAUAAAGAUAUAUGGAUUAGAAUUUUAUUAAGGUCCUUGAAAUCACAAAUGCACUCAAAAAAUUUGUGGAACUUAUCAUCUUAUAAAUAUUGGUACUACUAAAAACUGCUUAGACUCUAUAUAUUUAGAAAAUAAUGGCCAACAAUAUUAAAUUAUUAAAGUGUACCCCUAAAAAAGUAAAAAAAAAUGACAAGAAAUCUUUCUCACACGACUUUGACAAUUCUUUUUGUAGGAAUGAUAUCAAGAUGACAAACACUUACCGAAAAGAAUAUGGUUUUAGUUGUCAUGGGAUUCAAGUAACUUGAGUAAUUGACUCUCAAAGUUAUGACUAGCAACAAAUUUCACCGGUAAAUUUUAAAUAUUUAACUAAGGUAACUGUUUUGAUAUAGGAAUUUGAAAAAAAAAAAAAGGUAAUAACUCAAUCAAUUGAACUACUGCUUUUUAGCCUAUCACUCCAAAAUAUAUUCAGGAAAAGCCAAUAAAAGAAUUCCUUUUAUUUUUUUGGGAUAAUUUCAGAAACCUCCCCUGAGGUUUCUGACAAUUUCACUGACCUCCCCUGAGGUUUCCACAAUUACACUAACCUCCCUUGAGGUUUCUGAUUUUGUAACAAAAUCAGCCCAUGACCACAAAAGUAAACAUAAAAAAGUGUUUUCAGGAAAGAGAGGAAAUUUUGUUCCCAUAAAUGCCCUUAAGGUAGGUGUACAAGUUAUAUUAGUGAAUUAAUGAAAACUAAUAAAAAUCAGAAAUAAAUAAGAAAAAGUGAGGGGAUGGGUAUGGGAAUCAUAAAAUUUUACUUAUGGAUAUAAACAAUUGGGUAACGCAACCGACCCAAUUAACCCAUCUACCACCACUCAGGUCAUUUCACAAAUACAUUCAUCAGACAAAGCUUUCCUCUUGUCACAAAAAUUCAAAGCAAUGUGGUACAUGUUCACAAGCAAGCAGGUUAAAAUCCCGCCUGCAUAAUAACGUUGAAACCCUGCAAGCGGGAUUCUGUGUUUUUUCUAUUUCAAGGUUAGCUCGCAUGCGGGUUAAUGUUAUAUUUGAGCGCGAGAAGAAAAAAUUGGUAAUUAGGCUCUUUGGGCAUUAUAAGUAAAUAUUUAAAUUAAUGGCAG
Molecule: long non-coding RNA, 18944 nt
Filed under: Coffea arabica (coffee)
Lineage: Eukaryota; Viridiplantae; Streptophyta; Magnoliopsida; Gentianales; Rubiaceae
Description: long non-coding RNA (CARA_LNC005907)
Source: RNAcentral